UCCUAAUACAUGCAAGUCGAACGCACUCUCGUUUAGAUUGAAGGAGCUUGCUCCUGAUUGAUAAACAUUUGAGUGAGUGGCGGACGGGUGAGUAACACGUGGGUAACCUGCCCUAAAGUGGGGGAUAACAUUUGGAAACAGAUGCUAAUACCGCAUAAAACCUAACACCGCAUGGUGUAGGGUUGAAAGAUGGUUUCGGCUAUCACUUUAGGAUGGACCCGCGGUGCAUUAGUUAGUUGGUGAGGUAAAGGCUCACCAAGACCGUGAUGCAUAGCCGACCUGAGAGGGUAAUCGGCCACACUGGGACUGAGACACGGCCCAGACUCCUACGGGAGGCAGCAGUAGGGAAUCUUCCACAAUGGACGAAAGUCUGAUGGAGCAACGCCGCGUGAGUGAAGAAGGUUUUCGGAUCGUAAAACUCUGUUGUUGGAGAAGAAUGUAUGCUGAUAG
Molecule: ribosomal RNA, 450 nt
Filed under: Latilactobacillus sakei
Lineage: Bacteria; Bacillati; Bacillota; Bacilli; Lactobacillales; Lactobacillaceae
Description: bacterial SSU rRNA
Rfam family: Bacterial small subunit ribosomal RNA
Source: RNAcentral